RNAcentral lists this transfer RNA (77 nucleotides) under Nevskia sp. RNAcentral describes it as "tRNA-Pro". It matches the Rfam family "tRNA". Rfam says of the family: Transfer RNA (tRNA) molecules are approximately 80 nucleotides in length. The record is from RNAcentral. Lineage: Bacteria; Pseudomonadati; Pseudomonadota; Gammaproteobacteria; Nevskiales; Nevskiaceae.
CGGGGUGUAGCGCAGUCUGGUAGCGCACCUGCCUUGGGCGCAGGUGGUCGCAGGUUCGAAUCCUGUCACCCCGACCA